RNAcentral lists this unclassified non-coding RNA (306 nucleotides) under plant metagenome. RNAcentral describes it as "partial contains 5.8S ribosomal RNA, internal transcribed spacer 2, and large subunit ribosomal RNA". The stretch from base 1 to 105 matches the Rfam family "5.8S ribosomal RNA", at positions 50 to 154 of the family's 154-position model. The record is from RNAcentral.
GAAAUGCGAUAAGUAAUGUGAAUUGCAGAAUUCAGUGAAUCAUCGAAUCUUUGAACGCACAUUGCGCCCGCCAGUAUUCUGGCGGGCAUGCCUGUCCGAGCGUCAUUUCAACCAUCAAGCCCCCGGGCUUGUGUUGGGGACCUGCGGCUGCCCGCUGGCCCUGAAAACCAGUGGCGGGCUCGCUGUCACACCGAGCGUAGUAGCAAUCACCUCGCUCAGGGCGUGCUGCGGGUUCCGGCCGUUAAACAGCCUUACAAAACCCAAGGUUGACCUCGGAUCAGGUAGGAAGACCCGCUGAACUUAAGC